RNAcentral lists this ribosomal RNA (440 nucleotides) under uncultured bacterium. RNAcentral's name for it is "partial 16S ribosomal RNA". It matches the Rfam family "Bacterial small subunit ribosomal RNA", at positions 339 to 795 of the family's 1533-position model. The record is from RNAcentral.
CUACGGGAGGCUGCAGUGGGGAAUAUUGCACAAUGGGGGGAACCCUGAUGCAGCAACGCCGCGUGGAGGAUGACGCAUUUCGGUGUGUAAACUCCUUUUAUAUGUCAAGAAAAUGACGGUAGCAUAUGAAUAAGCACCGGCUAACUCCGUGCCAGCAGCCGUCGGUAAUACGGAGGGUGCAAGCGUUACUCGGAAUCACUGGGCGUAAAGGACGCGUAGGCGGGUUGGAAAGUCAGGUGUGAAAUCCUACAGCUUAACUGUAGAACUGCACUUGAAACUUCUAAUCUAGAGUAUGGGAGGGGGAGAUGGAAUUAGUGGUGUAGGGGUAAAAUCCGUAGAUAUCACUAGGAAUACCUAAAGCGAAGGCGAUCUCCUGGAACAUAACUGACGCUAAGGCGUGAAAGCGUGGGGAGCAAACAGGAUUAGAUACCCCAGUAGUC